Long non-coding RNA from Hyaena hyaena (striped hyena), 2188 nucleotides. RefSeq lists it as uncharacterized. Lineage: Eukaryota; Metazoa; Chordata; Mammalia; Carnivora; Hyaenidae. The record is from RefSeq and is a predicted model, not a curated record. The transcript has 3 exons.
AGGGUUCCCACUCUCAAAGCCAUCUCCAUCUCUGGACUUCUGCAUUCUUGCGAUGCAUCUCUUAUCUGCAAUAUGGCAAACAAGACAUGAAACUGGACCCAUUCUUAAUUUCCAAAAAAAUACCAAUUCAGCCCUGGCACACAUGAGUACAGUAAGUGUUGCUGAAGACUAGAAGGAACGAAAGUAAGACAGACAAGUUUAGUCACAUCAUUCAAACUUCAACUUGAACAUUAGGCAGGGUUUGGGGUUUUCUGAUGGUUUCCAGCAUUGAAGAGAACAACUUUGUCAUAUUAGGAGAGGAGGAACCGCUGUCUUUGAUGGCAGGUUGACAAAGGCACUUUGUCCCUGGAGUCAUUUUAUUAUAUGACUACUGUGUUCUGCCAAGAAGGCUGAGACCACCUACCUGCACAUUGAAAAACACAGCUGAGAUCUGUCUUUGUGACCCAGACACAUGGCCUCUCAACUUCUCUCUGUACUGAAGGAAAACAUCAUAGCUCCAGCCAGAUGAAAACAAGCACUCCCCCCCGCCCCCACUUUUUCUGUGGGAAAGAUGAGCUGAAACCAAAGUUUCUAUAGGUUGUGAGGUUGCACAAAGAAAGGAGAUACAGCUUGUCUCUAUUCUACAAUGUUGGGGCUUCAACUGGAAGAUUGAAAGCUAGCAAUGGAAUUAUCUGGGAGUCUCCUUCACACAUGUGUCUGAGGUUUCCCUGCUGGUAUUGGCCAUUAGCUCAGCUAAAGCUGUCAACGAGAACAUCAAACAUCUGCACGUGGCCUGGCUUUUUCCUGGGGACUGGUCUCUCAGGGAGAGUGUCCUGAAAGAGAAUCCAGACAGAAGUCACAGCUCUUUUAUGAGCUAGCUUCAAGCAGUUACACAGCAUCAUUUCCACAAACUACAUCGAUUGGGACCUUUACGAGCCUCUGCCUGGGUUCGAGUAACAACAGUCAUAAAUACAGAUUGGUGUUCUUCUGGUUGAGAAGGAAAGAGAAGCUCAUUCUCUGGAAGGGCUUUCAGGGUUCUUCUGAAGCAAUGAGUAAUGUUCUAGGUUUGAACUGGGACAAAGGGAUCAUGUGCGUGUUCUCCGUGUGACUCUUCUCAAACCUCUCAAAAUAUAGCUCAUCAGAUCCAUGCAAGGAAUCACUAUUGUUCUAAAAUUGAGGUUUAACAUUCUCCAUAUGUCCUAGCAGACGGUGUACCCUCCAGACCCUGCCUAUAUCAUCAGUUUUAUCUUUCACUUUCUUACACCUGAUUUUUAUUACAUGGCAAAGUUUUAAUUGUUUAAAAAAAACCAAGUAGGCCCACACCAGUUAUGAUUAGAAGUCAGGGACCCCAAAACCGUUCCAUUUUGGACUGGUCUAUAUAAAGCCUUGGCCUUUUGUAUCAGAACUGUCCAUUUGUGUACUUGGCUUGUGUUGUUGUUCUUCUUCUUGACUUUCCUUUGUCUAUUCCUUGAGAGUAAGGCCACAAAAACAAUUCCUGAAAUGAUGCUGAUUCUUCAAGUCUCUCCUGGAAACUAAAGAGGAAAAAUGUGUUUUGCACAUUUGAAAAGCUGGAAAUAGCUAUUCAGGAUCUGGGUUUAUUCAAACCACUGAUUUCUAAUUUGUAAAAUUCUUCAGAUGGUGUUGGACAUAGAAAGCUCUACUAAAAUUGUUGAAGAUGUUUACUCCUCUGAAUUACGUAUGUGUUUUUGGCCAUUUCCUUGAAGGACAUGGUGAGUUAGCAUGGCUUGUGCUUGACAUUCCCCUUAGCUAAAGAUGCAUCCCUGACCUGACUUUUCUGUCACAUCAUAUUCCUCAUGUGCCAGACUGUCAACAAGAAUUUGUUGUGUGAUUCUCACAUGCCAGGCACCAUGCUAGAUCCCUCCUACACCAUGGUAAACAAGCUUCCCAUUGUUCCGGCCACUGUAAAUUUAUAAUCUGGUGAUUAUGCAGCUUCCUUUAUUUUUGAGAAAAUGUUAUUUUUUACCUACAUAGAGUAAACAUAACAUUUAAUAAGAAUCUGUCACAGUUGAUAGAGUAUCAAUGUCUUUUGAUGCCAAAAGGGACCAGUGAGUUGGUUAUAAAAUAACUAUAGAUAUUUAUAGUUGCAAAGAUGAAGAAAUCUAUACUGCAGGAUUUUUAUAUUUAUAUGUUCGAGAGACACGUGAUAUCUGUGUCGGUUGUAUAAGCAAAUAAAAUAGCUUAAAUAUUA